CCUCUUCCUCCUGCUCUGUCUCUGCUCUGGAGCCCCCAUGUGAGCCCAGAAGACUGGACAGGACGCCUUCUGCCAGCAUCCUCCAUAAGAUAAGUCUUAUGAUUAUGGAUGAUAAUUAAGACUGAGCUAGCAAGUAAGAAAUCCUAGUCAAUUGACCAGCAGCAUUGUAAACUAAUAUAAGACUGUGUGUUAUUCUAGGGAUCCAUGUAGAGGCAGGCCUCGGGCAGAUGGAGUAAAGACUUAUUGUUACAUGUCAGCAUAUUGAAGCAGAGAUGCAAGAGUAAUGAAGAUCAUGCUGCAUAGUGAUAUUGAACUUGAGAAAGCACAGUACUUCCUGGAUGAUUGUUUUGUGGCUACAUGAAUUAGGUACCUACCACAUGGUGGAUUGCUGCUUCUAUGCACUGAGAACACCAGUCAAAACUCUCAUUAUACUUUUUAUCAUAAGCUACUCCAAACCACUGCAUUCAUACAUGUUUAGUCACUUAUUCUACAAAUAUUAGUCAGAAUUACUAUGAUCCAGACUAAUGGCUUGCUAUGGUGUGGUGCAGAUAGGUAGCUGCCACCAAAAAGCAUCCCUCUCUUUCUACAGCAUUCAAAUGUCCUAAGAAAGUAUCUACUCACUCAGGAAUUGCACUCCCCAGGGUUAUGUAUGACUGUCCUCUGAGGCAGGAAAUAAACAUUUUGGAAGUUCUGCUGUGCCCCCAUUGGAAAAGGAUUAUUCCAGCAGAUCUGGUUGAUGGUUUAUAUUCCCUUAUACAAGUAUGGCAAGAGCCAUAAAAUCCUAAUCUGAGUAUUUAGAUAUUUUGUUCUACCUGUUGCAUUUGACCCUGCCUUAAUUGCCUCAGACUUCAGAGAGGAGUUAGAGUAUUUAAGCCAGGGACACUCGUAGAAUGGGGCUCCAUUUAUGUGGCUAUAGGAAAUCCCGCAUUCCUGCUGCAUAAAGAAUUUCCAGUUUGGCUUUUUGGAGGACAUUUUUUGACACUCCAUGCCACAUCCAUAACCCCUCACUUAAGCUCUGUAAUUAAGCUAAUAAAGACAUGAGCUGUGGUGCAAUCAUGACUCAGUUUGUUGUUGGGACCUUGAGAAGAGGGGUAGACACUGUCUAUGCCACCAUAUUUUAGGAAUUUUAGAUUCACCAAUUCACCUUGUAACUUAGGCGGGGCCACCUGAGUAGUUCUUAUUAUCAGAACACAAUUGACAGCUACGUGUGCCAUUCUGGGUUUAGGGUGAUAUCAGUGGGUGCCUUCUGUCUUUUCUCCUGCCCGUUGACAGUAGGGGGUUUGGGAGUCUAUUGGAAUAGAAGAGCCACAAAGUCUUAAGCAUCAGGAUUGAUCAACCAUGUAGAAAAAAGCCACUUGUCAACCAGGAGAACAUCAGGAAGUUUAAGUCUGUGGAGAAGACAAAGGCAGAAGGAAGAGUCACGCAGUGUAUUCCUAAAAGACACAUAUCAGGGAUACAAAAUAUCAUAAUUUUAUAAUAUCAUCAACAUAUCACAAAUAUAUGUGUAUAUGUACAUAUAUACACAUAUGUGUGUAUGUAUAUAUACUAAAAUAUAUUUUAUAUUAUAGUCCUCUAAUAUUUUAUACUAUAUAUUUUAGCAUAUAUAUAUAUAUAUAUAUAUAUAUAUAUAUAUAAACUUUGAGUGUGUUGUAUCUCCCUUAAUUUAGAAUUCUGUGAUGCUCCUGCAACUGAAGGCAUAUGUGUGCAGAUUUUUAUAUGGAAAUAUUUUUCUAGUUUCUACAGCAUACAUAUGAUUCUAAAUUAAAAAAUCAAAUGAAUUAGUAUCUAGAAACAUUUGAUAUGAAAUGAAAUGAAAAGAGAAAAAAGCACAAUACUCUCCUAAUUAUUAAAAAACAUUAAUAAAGUGCUGAAUUUUAAAUCAUCUGGUAAUUGAGGAUGAAUAGGUUUUAAGAAAGGCAUCCCAAAGGUCAUUCAAUGAACUCAAAAACCCUUCCAGUGAUUAUUCCAUUAGCACAGGCAAUGUAUCCUGAGAGGCCAGAUUUUGUUUUCCAUAACAGAUUAGAAAAGGAAGAAUUGAGUUAGGAAAAUGAAGUGCUACAUUCAGAGUUUGUGGAGGAAUCCCAAGGACCUCUUGAGACACUUUGCCCACUCUUAAUCAUCUGAGUAUUCCCUUAAAAUUGAAAUGUGUUCCAAGAGAGCCCUUAUCCUCAGAAUUGAAAUUCCUUCUGUGUGUCAGGGCCCAGUGUUUGCAGUGAUUAUCUUAAUAGGGAGUCCUUUCAGAUCAGCUACAGUCUAUAACUUUGCUUUCCUUUUUAAAAGGGCCAGCAUCUCUCCUCAACCCCAAACUGCAAACCACUUAGACAGAGGCACAAUGUUUUCUAACUCUCUUGAUUUUAUCUUCCACCACAUUUCAGGUCCACAUUUUCAACUGCAAUUUGAGCACAGGAAAAAGCAGUUUUCACACAUGAUCUUUUGAGUGUCACUUGCUGUAUUUCACCUUCCUAUUAGAAACUGAGACAUCAUUUGCAAGAUUUUCCUAAACAGGGGAUUCGCUUUUUUUUAUCCCACAGAAGCGAAUCUGUUACUAAAUUUAUCCAAAGAUAUCUAAUGCCUAAAUAACAUUGGCAUUUUAGAAACAAAGCCACAGCAACAUCGGAGUCGUUUUUUGUAAGAGCAAAGUGGGUUCAGUGGAGAUUGGCUCAUUGUGAUGGUUGUGUACAAGUUUUGAACAUCUCCUUGAAUAAUUCACAUCUGCAACUUAGAAUUCUCCUCAUGUCUCCAAGGCAAACUAAAUGAUUACCUUAAAUUUUGGUGUACACAGAUCCAAACACAGGAGCUGGGUGGUUGUGAUGGCUAGAGGCGAUUAAGUGAUGGGUGCUGUCUGAGCUGAUCAAAGGUAGAGUGUGUUCUGAUACCUCAUGCUUCUUGCAUAUGGGAAGAAUUCCCUAUUUAUGCUGGAGCUGAAACUGGCUUCCAUCCCCCACUUUGUGACCAGCUGCUUACUCCAACAGCAUUUCUUCAUCUUUCAAAGAACAGAAUCUUGUUUGUUUGUUUAUUUGUUUGUUUUUAGUUUGAUAUAUCAUCAACCAAAGACUCUUUUUUUUAAAAUUAUCUUUCCUAGUAUGUGAUGUCAUACCAUGGCUCAGUUUGGACAAUGAGGUAUCAGAGAGUAUGAUGGCAUUCCCAUUGAGACCAGUAAAAAAAAUAAAAAAUAAAAAUAAAAAAGCCAAAUAAAUGCACAAAAUAAGCAAAUGUCAUGCGUACUUAAAACCAUUAAAGACUUCCAAAGCAGCUAGAAAUAGAGGCACUUAGUGUUCAGGGGCUACAUCUAAUAGACUGAGUAGCAGAUAAACAACAGAAGUUCAUCUCUCAGUUCUUCAGGCUGGGAAGCCUAAGCUCCAGGUAUCAUACAAUGAGAGUUCAUUUCCUGAUUCACAGAAGUGUUCCAUUUUCCCUGUGUCCUGAUAUGACUAAAAGGAUAUUAAUGCCUUUGGCUAGGGAUCUGCUCUCCUAACCUAAUCACCUCCCAUGGUCGUUUGAGUGCAACCAUGACUGCUGCUUGAUGCCAUGCUUCUUUGCCAUGAUGGACUCAUAUCUGGUGUCAUUAGCCAAAUAAACCCUUCCUUCUUUAAGUUGUCCUGGCCAUGGUUUUUCUUUAUUGUAGCAAUAGAAAAGUAGCAAAUACAUGUCUUAAAGGCACCACCUCCAAUGAAUUUAAAUUGGGUGGUUAAGUUUCAACAUAUUAAUUGGAGAGGAGGGUCAUGGAGAUAAAACACAUAAGCAU
Molecule: long non-coding RNA, 3745 nt
Filed under: Cricetulus griseus (Chinese hamster)
Lineage: Eukaryota; Metazoa; Chordata; Mammalia; Rodentia; Cricetidae
Description: lncRNA (ENSCGRG00015033854.1)
Source: RNAcentral